Non-coding RNA from Caenorhabditis brenneri, 75 nucleotides. Lineage: Eukaryota; Metazoa; Nematoda; Chromadorea; Rhabditida; Rhabditidae. The record is from Rfam.
UCAAACGGUAUUCUUUGGUUAAUAAUAAGGAUGGCAUCACGACUCAUUAUAUUAUUGCUCAAGAAUACCCUUUGA